UACGUAGGGCGCAAGCGUUGUCCGGAAUUAUUGGGCGUAAAGAGCUCGUAGGCGGCCAGUUGCGUCUGCUGUGAAAUCCCGGGGCUCAACCCCGGGCGUGCAGUGGAUACGGGCUGGCUAGAGGCAGGCAGGGGAGAACGGAAUUCCGGUGUAGCGGUGAAAUGCGCAGAUAUCGGGAGGAACACCGGUGGCGAAGGCGGUUCUCUGGGCCUGUACUGACGCUGAGGAGCGAAAGCGUGGGGAGCGAACAGG
RNAcentral lists this ribosomal RNA (252 nucleotides) under uncultured bacterium. RNAcentral describes it as "partial 16S ribosomal RNA". It matches the Rfam family "Bacterial small subunit ribosomal RNA", at positions 524 to 776 of the family's 1533-position model. The record is from RNAcentral.